This 261-nucleotide unclassified non-coding RNA is filed under the name uncultured Basidiomycota. RNAcentral describes it as "sequence contains ITS1". The record is from RNAcentral. Lineage: Eukaryota; Fungi; Basidiomycota.
UUGAAUAAACUUGAUAGGUUGUCGCUGGCUCUUAGGAGCAUGUGCACGCCUGUCAUCUUUAUCCAUCCACCUGUGCACCUUUUGUAGUCUUGGAGUAAUGAGUGUGAAUCUAUCGGGAACAAUGUUCCUUCGGAGUUGGGCCUGCCACAAAGUGACUGGCCUUGGCAUUCACGCGAGUUCUCUAAGCCUAUGUCUUUCAUAUACCACAAAGAAAGUCACAGAAUGUAUCACUAGGCCUUUGUGCCUAUAUAUAAUACAAUA